AACGGCCGUACCAUGCUGAAUAUACCGGUUCUCGUUAGAUCACCGAAGUUAAGCAUCAUUGGGCGCGGUCAGUACUUGGGUGGGUGACCACCUGGGAACACCGCGUGUCGUU
Molecule: ribosomal RNA, 112 nt
Filed under: Caerostris darwini
Lineage: Eukaryota; Metazoa; Arthropoda; Arachnida; Araneae; Araneidae
Source: RNAcentral